UACGUAGGGUGCGAGCGUUAAUCGGAAUUGCUGGGCGUAAAGCGUGCGUAGUCGGUUAUUUAAGUCGGAUGUGAAAUCCCCGGGCUCACCCUGGGAAUUGCAUUCGAUACUGGAUAGCUAGAGUUCGGCAGAGGGAAGCGGAAUUUCGGGUGUAGCGGUGAAAUGCGUAGAUAUCCGAAGGAACAUCAGUGGCGAAGGCGGCUUCCUGGACCAGAACUGACGAUCAGGCACGAAAGCGUGGGGAGCAAACAGG
RNAcentral lists this ribosomal RNA (253 nucleotides) under uncultured bacterium. RNAcentral's name for it is "partial 16S ribosomal RNA". It matches the Rfam family "Bacterial small subunit ribosomal RNA", at positions 524 to 776 of the family's 1533-position model. The record is from RNAcentral.